RNAcentral lists this ribosomal RNA (301 nucleotides) under uncultured bacterium. RNAcentral describes it as "partial 16S ribosomal RNA". It matches the Rfam family "Bacterial small subunit ribosomal RNA", at positions 509 to 809 of the family's 1533-position model. The record is from RNAcentral.
CAGUCGCCGCGGGAAAACGUAGGCGGCAAGCGUUGUCCGGAAUUAUUGGGCGUAAAGGGAGCGCAGGUGGGACGGUAAGUCCGUCUUAAAAGGCAGGGGCUCAGCCCCUGUAAGGGAUGGAAACUAUCGAUCUUGAGUGCCGGAGAGGAAAGCGGAAUUCCCAGUGUAGCGGUGAAAUGCGUAGAUAUUGGGAAGAACACCAGUGGCGAAGGCGGCUUUCUGGACGGCAACUGACACUGAGGCUCGAAAGCCAGGGGAGCGAACGGGAUAAGAUACCCGCGUAGUCCCUGUCUCUUAUACA